UAGGGAAUCUUCGGCAAUGGACGAAAGUCUGACCGAGCAACGCCGCGUGAGUGAAGAAGGUUUUCGGAUCGUAAAACUCUGUUGUUAGAGAAGAACAAGGACGUUAGUAACUGAACGUCCCCUGACGGUAUCUAACCAGAAAGCCACGGCUAACUACGUGCCAGCAGCCGCGGUAAUACGUAGGUGGCAAGCGUUGUCCGGAUUUAUUGGGCGUAAAGCGAGCGCAGGCGGUUUCUUAAGUCUGAUGUGAAAGCCCCCGGCUCAACCGGGGAGGGUCAUUGGAAACUGGGAGACUUGAGUGCAGAAGAGGAGAGUGGAAUUCCAUGUGUAGCGGUGAAAUGCGUAGAUAUAUGGAGGAAAACCAGUGGCGAAGGCGGCGCUCUGGUCUGUAACUGACGAUGAGGCUCGAAAGCGUGGGGAGCAAACAGG
Molecule: ribosomal RNA, 429 nt
Filed under: Gemmatimonadota bacterium
Lineage: Bacteria; Pseudomonadati; Gemmatimonadota
Description: Gemmatimonadetes bacterium partial 16S ribosomal RNA
Rfam family: Bacterial small subunit ribosomal RNA
Source: RNAcentral